RNAcentral lists this ribosomal RNA (440 nucleotides) under uncultured bacterium. RNAcentral's name for it is "bacterial SSU rRNA". It matches the Rfam family "Bacterial small subunit ribosomal RNA", at positions 355 to 787 of the family's 1533-position model. The record is from RNAcentral.
UGGGAAGUCUUCCGCAAUGGGCGAAAGCCUGACGGAGCAAUGCCGCGUGAGUGAAGAAGGCCUUCGGGUUGUAAAACUCUGUCCUUAUCGAAGAGAGGUGGGUAUGUGAAUAAUGUACCUAUAGGACGGUAGAUAAGGAGGAAGCCCGCGUAACUACGUGCCAGCAGCCGCGGUAAUACGUAGGGGCGGCAGCGUGUCCGGAAUCACUGGGCGUAAAGGGCGCGUAGGCGGUUUAAUAAGUCAGUGGUGAAAACUGAGGGCUCAACCCUCAGCCUGCCACUGAUACUGUUAGACUUGAGUAUGGAAGAGGAGAAUGGAAUUCCUAGUGUAGCGGUGAAAUGCGUAGAUAUUAGGAGGAACACCAGUGGCGAAGGCGAUUCUCUGGGCCAAGACUGACGCUGAGGCGCGAAAGCGUGGGGAGCAAACAGGAUUAGAUACCC